This 486-nucleotide ribosomal RNA is filed under the name uncultured bacterium. Its description in RNAcentral is "partial 16S ribosomal RNA". It matches the Rfam family "Bacterial small subunit ribosomal RNA", at positions 30 to 507 of the family's 1533-position model. The record is from RNAcentral.
AUUGAACGCUGGCGGCAUGCCUUACACAUGCAAGUCGAACGGCAGCACGGGUGCUUGCACCUGGUGGCGAGUGGCGAACGGGUGAGUAAUACAUCGGAACAUGUCCUGUAGUGGGGGAUAGCCCGGCGAAAGCCGGAUUAAUACCGCAUACGAUCUACGGAUGAAAGCGGGGGCCCUUCGGGCCUCGCGCGAUAGGGUUGGCCGAUGGCUGAUUAGCUAGUUGGUGGGGUAAAGGCCUACCAAGGCGACGAUCAGUAGCUGGUCUGAGAGGACGACCAGCCACACUGGAACUGAGACACGGCCCAGACUCCUACGGGAGGCAGCAGUGGGGAAUUUUGGACAAUGGGCGAAAGCCUGAUCCAGCAAUGCCGCGUGUGUGAAGAAGGCCUUCGGGUUGUAAAGCACUUUUGUCCGGAAAGAAAUCCUUGGGCCUAAUACGGUCGGGGGAUGACGGUACCGGAAGAAUAAGCACCGGCUAACUACGUG